GGGUCAGUAGGUUGGUCGUGCCACCGGUACGUACUGGUCUCACUGAUUCCUCCUUCCUGAAGAACCGUAAUGCCAUUAAUUUGGUGUUGCGGGGAAGCAGGACUGUUACUUUGAAAAAAUUGGAGUGUUUAAAGCAAGCUAACGCUUGAAUACAUUAGCAUGGAAUAAUGAAAUAGGACGAUCGAUCCUAUUUUGUUGGUUUCUAGGAUUGACGUA
This 216-nucleotide ribosomal RNA is filed under the name Glomeromycotina sp. Its description in RNAcentral is "partial small subunit ribosomal RNA". The stretch from base 40 to 216 matches the Rfam family "Eukaryotic small subunit ribosomal RNA", at positions 686 to 864 of the family's 1831-position model. The record is from RNAcentral. Lineage: Eukaryota; Fungi; Glomeromycota.